GACGAACGCUGGCGGCGUGCUUAACACAUGCAAGUCGAACGGAAAGGCCCUGCUUUUGUGGGGUGCUCGAGUGGCGAACGGGUGAGUAACACGUGAGUAACCUGCCCUUGACUUUGGGAUAACUUCAGGAAACUGGGGCUAAUACCGGAUAGGAGCUCCUGCUGCAUGGUGGGGGUUGGAAAGUUUCGGCGGUUGGGGAUGGACUCGCGGCUUAUCAGCUUGUUGGUGGGGUAGUGGCUUACCAAGGCUUUGACGGGUAGCCGGCCUGAGAGGGUGACCGGCCACAUUGGGACUGAGAUACGGCCCAGACUCCUACGGGAGGCAGCAGUGGGGAAUAUUGCACAAUGGGCGGAAGCCUGAUGCAGCAACGCCGCGUGCGGGAUGACGGCCUUCGGGUUGUAAACCGCUUUCGCCUGUGACAGCGUGAGUGACGGUAAUGGGUAAAGAAGCACCGGCUAACUACGUG
This 466-nucleotide ribosomal RNA is filed under the name uncultured bacterium. Its description in RNAcentral is "partial 16S ribosomal RNA". It matches the Rfam family "Bacterial small subunit ribosomal RNA", at positions 28 to 507 of the family's 1533-position model. The record is from RNAcentral.